Homo sapiens (human) is the source of this 2506-nucleotide RNA transcript. It is a transcript of the gene named SH3 domain containing GRB2 like 1, endophilin A2 pseudogene 2, with no coding region annotated. The record is from RefSeq and is marked validated. Lineage: Eukaryota; Metazoa; Chordata; Mammalia; Primates; Hominidae. The transcript has a single exon.
GGGGCCCCUGAGGUGUGCAGAGGGUCGCGCACCUAGAAGCCUGUCGCUGGCGCGGUCUGGGCGGGAGGUUCUGCGGCGGGAGGCAGCCUGUUGGUUGCAGGGCUGAAAAAGCAGUUCUACAAGGCAAGCCAGCUGGUCAGUGAGAAGGUCGGAGGGUCUGAGGGGACCAAGCUGGACAAUGACUUCAAAGAGAUGGAGAUGUCAUCAGCAAGGCGGUGAUGGAAAUGCUGGCAAGGACCAUCAAGUACCUGGAGCCCAACCCAGCCUCACAGGCUAAGCUGACCAUGCUCAACACAGUGUGAAAGAUCCAGGGCCAGGUGAAGAACCCCGGCUACCCGCAGUCGGAGGGGCUCCUGAGCGAGUGCCUGAUCCGCCACCAGAAGGAGCUGGGCAACGAGUCCAACUUCAGUGAUGCACUGCUGGAUGCCGGCGAGUCCAUGAAGCACCUGGCAGAGGUGAAGGACUCCCUGGACAUAGAGGUCAAGCAGAACUUCAUUGACCUCCUCCAGAACCUGUGUGAGAAAGACCUGAAGGGGAUCCAGCACCACCUGCAGAAGCUAGAGGGCCGCCGCCUGGACUUUGACUAAAAGAAGCGGCAGGGCAAGAUCCCCGAUGAGGAGCUGCGCCAGGCGCUGGAGAAGUUUGAGGACUCCAAGGAGGUAGCAGAAACCAGCAUGCACAACCUCCUGGAGACCGACAUUGAGCAGAUGAGUCAACUCCGGGCCCUGGCGGAGGCGCAGCUGAACGACCACUGGCAGGCCAUGCAGAUCCUGGACGAGCUGGCAGAGAAGCUCAAGCGCAGGAUGCGGGAAGCUUCCUCACGCCCCAAGCGGGAGUAUAAGCCCAAGUUCUGGGAGCCCUUUGACCUCGGAGAGCCUGAGCAGUCCAACGGGGGCUUCCCCUGCACCACAGUCCCCAAGAUCGCAGCUUCAUCCCCUUUCCAAUCUUCCAACAAGUCCAUCUGUACUCCUAGCAGGAGCAUGCCGCCCCUAGACCAGCCAAGCUGCAAGGUGCUGUAUGACUUCCAGCCUGAGAACCAUGGGGAGCUGGGCUUCCAUGAGGGCGACGUCUUCACGCUCAUCAACCAGAUCAACGAGAACUGGUACCAGGGCAUGCUGGACGGCCAGUUGGGCUUCUUCCUGCUCAGCUACAUGGACGUGCUCAUGCCUCUGCCCAGUGACUCACUGGUGCCCCCGCCCCACCCCUCCAUCCACACUGGGUGGCACCCCCUGCCAGGUCUCCUGCCUUCCAUGGGCUCCUGCUGCCAGGGCGGUGUCCAAGCCUUCUGGCGCCACCCAGGCCCGGGCCCUUGAGGUACUCCCUCAGCAGGGAGCCACACUUGGGUGGGAGGCUUAUCGGGGUGGGUGGGGACGCUUGUUUACACUAGCGCUUACCCCUAACGGUGACGGCUCCCUUCCUCACUCCAUGGCGCCGGCCUUCUUCCCGCUCCCCAACUCCUCACCCAGCUGGCCCAGACGGGGCAACACUAAGGUGCUCUCAGAAACACUAAUAUUCCUCCAGGGCAGCCCCCACCUCCAUCCUGACCCCAUGGGGGCCCAGCCCACAGCUUACCCUCGAGUUCCACGGCCUUAACAGGCUUGGAUCGAGUGUCCCUGUGGGGUGGCUCAGAGACAGGACCCUGGUUUUAAAUCCCCCCACAAGCCUGCUCCUGGCGAUGAACCCUAGCCCCACUCCAGGGCCACAGUACCCCAGCCUCACACAUGCACUCCUUCUCCCCAAGGCCAGGGCAGAGGGCCUCACUGUUUCCCUGGCCUGCUGUCAGCUUGCAACCAGGAGACAGAGGCCAGCUGGGAUCUGCCCCACCUUCCCCCCCAUACUGCUCCCCUCAACCAGGACAGAGAACAUGGCCUCCUCUAGGGCCCUGCCUCCCAAGCCUUACCCUCACACACCAAGUACCUUUUCAGCUUUUUAACUGCCCCCAGCCAGGCCCACGGAAGCCUGUGUCACUCUGGCACAAGCUGCCACCACCAGCCACCUACACACCCCCCCAGCACACCUCGCACGGGACCACAGCCCCAGCUGUGCUGCUAAGGGCCAAGCACAAAGGCUCCAGUGAGCAAAUGUUCAAGCCCCUGGUAGCCAGGCCUCCCCUUGCCGAGCCGCUGCCAACCCACCCUGUGGGAAGUGGCCCCAGCCAUCUCCUCUAGACCACGGCAGGCAGCCCCGGGGUCCCCAGACCCCUGUCCAGGCCAGCAUGUCUGCAGCCCCGACAUCUGCUUCCUCUGUCGCCCAAUCCAAAAUCGACGAAAUGGAGGGUCCUCUGGGCUGGGCCACAUUCACAUUCCCCUCCCCCUGAGGCCCAGCGAAGCCUCCGGACCCCAGGCUCUGCUCUGCACCCUCGUGGUCGGCAGUACAUGAAGGGCACAGACACCCUGGCAGAGAUGAGCACACAGCCUUGGGCACGGUUCAGGGCAAACUGAAAUGUAUGCCCGAAUUUUGUAAACAGAAGUAUUAAAGGUCUUUCUACAAAAAAAAAAAAAAAAAA